AGUGUGCUGAGGGGAUAGUGGAGGCUGAAUUUCAGACGGAUGAGGUAAUGCCUCGACCUGAGGUAGUAUCUCGGCUUGCUGGGUUUGCACUUUAGCUGGCCGAGAAGCCAUCCUGUUAGAGUGACAUGAGGUAUUCGAUCUCCCUCUUCGAGCCCAAGCCCUCCAUCUAGCAUCAAUCAAUUUCUGCUGAUAAUCAAUAUAGCAUUGGAGUAAGUGGAUCUGAAGUUGCUGGAAUCUGCUACUACACCAGAUGGAAGUGAACAUGCAAAGCCCUCUAUCUAGCGCCAAUCUAUUGCUGCUG
This 301-nucleotide long non-coding RNA is filed under the name Elaeis guineensis (African oil palm). RNAcentral describes it as "long non-coding RNA (EGUI_LNC007806)". Lineage: Eukaryota; Viridiplantae; Streptophyta; Magnoliopsida; Arecales; Arecaceae. The record is from RNAcentral.